Molecule: ribosomal RNA, 468 nt
Filed under: uncultured bacterium
Lineage: Bacteria
Description: partial 16S ribosomal RNA
Rfam family: Bacterial small subunit ribosomal RNA
Source: RNAcentral
GACGAACGCUGGCGGCGUGCUUAACACAUGCAAGUCGAACGGAAAGGCCCUGCUUUUGUGGGGUGCUCGUGUGGCGAACGGGUGUGUAACACGUGAGUAACCUGCCCUUGACUUUGGGAUAAAUUCUCGAAACUGGGGCUAAUACCGGAUAGGAGCUCCUGCUGCAUGGGGGGGGUUGGAAAGUUUCGGUGGUUGGGGAUGGACUCGCGGGUUAUCGGCUUGUUGGUCGGGUAGUUGCUUACCAAGGCUUUGAAGGGUAGCCGGCCUGGGAGGGUUACCGGCCACCAUGGGACUGCGAGACGGCCCAGACGGCUACGGUAGGCAGCAGGGGGGAAUAUUGCACAACGGGCGGAAGCCUGAUGCAGCAACGCCGGGUGCGGGAUGACGGCCUUCUGGUUGUAAACCGCUUUCGCCUGUGACGAAGCGUUAGUGACGGUAAUUGGUAAAGAAGCACCGGCUAACUACGUG